This 523-nucleotide ribosomal RNA is filed under the name uncultured bacterium. Its description in RNAcentral is "partial 16S ribosomal RNA". It matches the Rfam family "Bacterial small subunit ribosomal RNA", at positions 28 to 523 of the family's 1533-position model. The record is from RNAcentral.
GACGAACGCUGGCGGCGUGCCAAAUACAUGCAAGUCGAACGCUUUUUCUUUCACCGGAGCUUGCUCCAUCGAAAGAAAAAGAGUGGCGAACGGGUGAGUAACACGUGGGUAACCUGCCCAUCAGAAGGGGAUAACACUUGGAAACAGGUGCUAAUACCGUAUAACACUAUUUUCCGCAUGGAAGAAAGUUGAAAGGCGCUUUUGCGUCACUGAUGGAUGGACCCGCGGUGCAUUAACUAGUUGGUGAGGUAACGGCUCACCAAGGCAACGAUGCGAAGCCGACCUGAGAGGGUGAUCGGCCACACUGGGACUGAGACACGGCCCAGACUCCUACGGGAGGCAGCAGUAGGGAAUCUUCGGCAAUGGACGAAAGUCUGACCGAGCAACGCCGCGUGAGUGAAGAAGGUUUUCGGAUCGUAAAACUCUGUUGUUAGAGAAGAACAAGGAUGAGAGUAAAAUGUUCAUCCCUUGACGGUAUCUAACCAGAAAGCCACGGCUAACUACGUGCCAGCCGCCGCCGUAA